UUCGGCCCCAGGCGAAUUACGGGUAGCCGGCCUGAGAGGGCGACCGGCCACACUGGGACUGAGACACGGCCCAGACUCCUGCGGGAGGCAGCAGUGGGGAAUAUUGCGCAAUGGGCGAAAGCCUGACGCAGCGACGCCGCGUGGGGGAUGACGGCCUUCGGGUUGUAAACCUCUUUUACCACUCACGCAGGCCCCACGUUUUCCCGGGGUUGACGGUAGGUGGGGAAUAAGGACCGGCUAACUACGUGCCAGCAGCCGCGGUAAUACGUAGGGUCCGAGCGUUGUCCGGAAUUAUUGGGCGUAAAGAGCUCGUAGGCGGCGUGUCGCGUCUGCUGUGAAAGACCGGGGCUUAACCCCGGUUCUGCAGUGGAUACGGGCAUGCUAGAGGUAGGUAGGGGAGACUGGAAUUCCUGGUGUAGCGGUGAAAUGCGCAGAUAUCAGGAGGAACACCGGUGGCGAAGGCGGGUCUCUGGGCCUUACCUGACGCUGAGGAGCGAAAGCAUGGGGAGCGAACAGGAUUAGAUACCCUGGUAGUCCAUGCCGUAAACGUUGGGCGCUAGGUGUGGGGACUUUCCACGGUUUCCGCGCCGUAGCUAACGCAUUAAGCGCCCCGCUGGGGGAAGUACGGA
RNAcentral lists this ribosomal RNA (629 nucleotides) under Nocardiopsis flavescens. RNAcentral describes it as "bacterial SSU rRNA". It matches the Rfam family "Bacterial small subunit ribosomal RNA", at positions 261 to 886 of the family's 1533-position model. The record is from RNAcentral. Lineage: Bacteria; Bacillati; Actinomycetota; Actinomycetes; Streptosporangiales; Nocardiopsidaceae.